CUACGGGCCGCAGCAGGCGAGAAAACUUUACAAUGUGCGAAAGCACGACAAGGUUAAUCCGAGUGGUUUGUGCUAAACGAACCUUUUGACAGUCCUAGAAACACUGUUGAAUAAGGGGUGGGCAAGUUCUGGUGUCAGCCGCCGCGGUAAAACCAGCACCUCAAGUGGUCAGGAUGAUUAUUGGGCCUAAAGCAUCCGUAGCCGGCUCUGUAAGUUUUCGGUUAAAUCUGUACGCUCAACGUACAGGCUGCCGGGAAUACUGCAGAGCUAGGGAGUGGGAGAGGUAGACGGUAUUCGGUAGGAAGGGGUAAAAUCCUUUGAUCUAUUGAUGACCACCUGUGGCGAAGGCGGUCUACCAGAACACGUCCGACGGUGAGGGAUGAAAGCUGGGGGAGCAAACCGGAUUAGAUACCCCCGUAGUC
RNAcentral lists this ribosomal RNA (422 nucleotides) under uncultured archaeon. RNAcentral's name for it is "partial 16S ribosomal RNA". It matches the Rfam family "Archaeal small subunit ribosomal RNA", at positions 323 to 746 of the family's 1478-position model. The record is from RNAcentral.